CCUACGGGGGGCAGCAGUGGGGAAUAUUGCACAAUGGGCGCAAGCCUGAUGCAGCCAUGCCGCGUGUGUGAAGAAGGCCUUCGGGUUGUAAAGCACUUUCAGCGGGGAGGAAGGCGGUGAGGUUAAUAACCUCAUCGAUUGACGUUACCCGCAGAAGAAGCGCCGGCUAACUCCGUGCCAGCAGCCGCGGUAAUACGGAGGGUGCAAGCGUUAAUCGGAAUUACUGGGCGUAAAGCGCACGCAGGCGGUCUGUCAAGUCGGAUGUGAAAUCCCCGGGCUCAACCUGGGAACUGCAUUCGAAACUGGCAGGCUAGAGUCUUGUAGAGGGGGGUAGAAUUCCAGGUGUAGCGGUGAAAUGCGUAGAGAUCUGGAGGAAUACCGGUGGCGAAGGCGGCCCCCUGGACAAAGAGUGACGCUCAGGUGCGAAAGCGUGGGGAGCAAACAGGAUUAGAUACCCGUGUAGUC
This 465-nucleotide ribosomal RNA is filed under the name uncultured Klebsiella sp. Its description in RNAcentral is "bacterial SSU rRNA". It matches the Rfam family "Bacterial small subunit ribosomal RNA", at positions 338 to 795 of the family's 1533-position model. Lineage: Bacteria; Pseudomonadati; Pseudomonadota; Gammaproteobacteria; Enterobacterales; Enterobacteriaceae. The record is from RNAcentral.